ACGCACGCUGGCGGCGUGCUUCACACCUGCCAGUCGCACGGAAAGGCCCUGCUUGCAGGGUGCUCGAGUGGCGAACGGGUGAGUAACACGUGGGUGAUCUGCCCCUUACUUUGGGAUAAGCCUGGGAAACUGGGUCUAAUACUGGAUAGGACCAUGCUGUAGGUGGUGUGGUGGAAAGAUUAGUUUCGGUAAGGGAUGAGCUCGCGGCCUAUCAGCUUGUUGGUGGGGUAAUGGCCUACCAAGGCGUCGACGGGUAGCCGGCCUGAGAGGGUGGACGGCCACAUUGGGACUGAGAUACGGCCCAGACGCCUACGGGAGGCAGCAGUGGGGAAUAUUGCACAAUGGGCGCAAGCCUGAUGCAGCGACGCCGCGUGGGGGAUGACGGCCUUCGGGUUGUAAACUCCUUUCAGCCAUGACGAAGCCCUUGUGGUGACGGUAGUGGUAGAAGAAGCACCGGCUAACUACGUG
Molecule: ribosomal RNA, 468 nt
Filed under: uncultured bacterium
Lineage: Bacteria
Description: partial 16S ribosomal RNA
Rfam family: Bacterial small subunit ribosomal RNA
Source: RNAcentral